UGAGGAAUAUUGGACAAUGGAGGAAACUCUGAUGGUGCAACGCCGCGUGGAGGAUGACGGCCCUAGGGUUGUAAACUCCUGUCAUUGGGGAGUAAGACUUAUGCGUUAAGAGCGUGUAAGUUUGAUAGUACCCAAAGAGGAAGGGACGGCUAACUUCGUGCCAGCAGCCGCGGUAAUACGAAGGUCCCAAGCGUUGUUCGGAAUAACUGGGCGUAAAGCGUGUGUAGGCUGCGCGGAAAGUCAAAUGUGAAAGCCAAGGGCUCAACCCUUGAACUGCAUUCGAUACUCCCGUGCUAGAGUAAUGGAGAGGUAAGUGGAAUUCCUGGUGUAGCAGUGAAAUGCGUGGAUAUCAGGAGGAACAUCAAUGGCGAAGGCAACUUACUGGACAUUUACUGACGCUCAGACACGAAGGCUAGGGGAGCGAAAGGG
RNAcentral lists this ribosomal RNA (429 nucleotides) under uncultured bacterium. RNAcentral's name for it is "bacterial SSU rRNA". It matches the Rfam family "Bacterial small subunit ribosomal RNA", at positions 355 to 776 of the family's 1533-position model. The record is from RNAcentral.